AGAAUCAACGCUGGCGGCGCGCUUAACACAUGCAAGUCGAACGAGAAAGUGGAGCAAUCCAUGAGUAAAGUGGCGUACGGGUGAGUAACACGUGGAUUAUCUGCCCUUGAGUGGGGAAUAACAAUGGGAAACCGUUGCUAAUACCGCAUAUUCCCGAGAGGGGAAAGCAGCAAUGCGCUCAAGGAGGAGUCCGCGGCCGAUUAGCUAGUUGGUAGGGUAAUGGCCUACCAAGGCUUCGAUCGGUAGCCGGCCUGAGAUGGCACACGGCCACACUGGCACUGAAACACGGGCCAGACUCCUACGGGAGGCAGCAGUGGGGAAUCUUGCACAAUGGGGGCAACCCUGAUGCAGCGACGCCGCGUGAGCGAUGAAGCCCUUCGGGGUGUAAAGCUCUUUCGGUAGGGAAGAUAAGUGACGGUACCUACAGAAGCAGCUGCGGCUAACUACGUGCCAGCAGCCGC
Molecule: ribosomal RNA, 461 nt
Filed under: uncultured bacterium
Lineage: Bacteria
Description: SSU rRNA
Rfam family: Bacterial small subunit ribosomal RNA
Source: RNAcentral